Molecule: ribosomal RNA, 247 nt
Filed under: uncultured bacterium
Lineage: Bacteria
Description: partial 16S ribosomal RNA
Rfam family: Bacterial small subunit ribosomal RNA
Source: RNAcentral
GUCGAACGCUCGUCUUCGGACGGGAGUGGCAGACGGGUGAGUAACACGUGGGAACGUACCCUUUGGUUCGGAAUAACGCAGGGAAACUUGCGCUAAUACCGGAUACGCCCUUUUGGGGAAAGGUUUACUGCCGAAGGAUCGGCCCGCGUCUGAUUAGCUAGUUGGUGGGGUAACGGCCUACCAAGGCGACGAUCAGUAGCUGGUCUGAGAGGAUGAUCAGCCACACUGGGACUGAGACACGGCCCAG